UAGGGAAUCUUCGGCAAUGGGGGGCAACCCUGACCGAGCAACGCCGCGCGAGUGAAGAAGGUUUUCGGAUCGUAAAGCUCUGUUGUAAGAGAAGAACGUGUGUGAGAGUGGAAAGUUCACACAGUGACGGUAACUUACCAGAAAGGGACGGCUAACUACGUGCCAG
This 166-nucleotide ribosomal RNA is filed under the name uncultured bacterium. RNAcentral describes it as "partial 16S rRNA". It matches the Rfam family "Bacterial small subunit ribosomal RNA", at positions 355 to 511 of the family's 1533-position model. The record is from RNAcentral.